CAGGUCCUGGAGCUAUCUUGAUCUCCCAAAACAGAGUUGGUAUUACUUUUGGUUUUCUUCCUCAGACUUCCAAGCCCCAGAGGAUUCCUAAUGACAUGUGUCUCCAUGUGUCUCUGAGCCUCCUGCGGCCAGUGGGGUGCUUGCAUUCCUGAAACGAAACACUAUGACAGUUCUGUACACCUGCUAACAUCAUCCCCAGUGACCUCCAUAAUGGAAGAGAAAUUCAAGGUAAGAGCCUUCAAAUUAUUCACUGCAGGACAGCUGAGCAGUAUGCAUUUAGUUAUUUGCCUGGUUCA
RNAcentral lists this long non-coding RNA (296 nucleotides) under Zonotrichia albicollis (white-throated sparrow). Its description in RNAcentral is "lncRNA (ENSZALG00000009338.1)". The record is from RNAcentral. Lineage: Eukaryota; Metazoa; Chordata; Aves; Passeriformes; Passerellidae.